GAUCAGGAACGACAUCAGGGUGAUGAUCGGCGUCGCCAUGACGCCCAUACGGUCGAUCUG
RNAcentral lists this small RNA (60 nucleotides) under Sinorhizobium meliloti 2011. Its description in RNAcentral is "putative ncRNA". The record is from RNAcentral. Lineage: Bacteria; Pseudomonadati; Pseudomonadota; Alphaproteobacteria; Hyphomicrobiales; Rhizobiaceae.